Molecule: ribosomal RNA, 538 nt
Filed under: fungal endophyte
Lineage: Eukaryota; Fungi
Description: eukaryotic LSU rRNA
Rfam family: Eukaryotic large subunit ribosomal RNA
Source: RNAcentral
CGGAGGAAAAGAAACCAACAGGGAUUGCCUCAGUAACGGCGAGUGAAGGGGCAACAGCUCAAAUUUGAAAUCUGGCCCUAGGCCCGAGUUGUAAUUUGCAGAGGAUGCUUUUGGUGCGGUGCCUUCCAAGUUCCCUAGAACGGGACGCCAGAGAGGGUGAGAGCCCCGUACAGUUGGACACCAAGCCUUUGUAAAGCUCCUUCGACGAGUCGAGUAGUUUGGGAAUGCUGCUCAAAAUGGGAGGUAUAUUUCUUCUAAAGCUAAAUACCGGCCAGAGACCGAUAGCGCACAAGUAGAGUGAUCGAAAGAUGAAAAGCACUUUGAAAAGAGGGUUAAACAGCACGUGAAAUUGUUAAAAGGGAAGCGCUUGUGACCAGACUUGCGUCCGGUGAAUCACCCAGCUCUCGCGGCUGGGGCACUUCGCCGGCUCAGGCCAGCAUCAGCUCGCUGUCGGGGACAAAAGCUUCAGGAACGUAGCUCUUUUCGGGGAGUGUUAUAGCCUGUUGCACAAUACCCUUGGGCGGGCUGAGGUACGCGC